Molecule: long non-coding RNA, 202 nt
Filed under: Mytilus galloprovincialis (Mediterranean mussel)
Lineage: Eukaryota; Metazoa; Mollusca; Bivalvia; Mytilida; Mytilidae
Source: RNAcentral
UGUCGUGUAUUACUUUUAAAGCAAAGACAAUUGUUUUCGAAAAAAACCCGUAUAUCUUAAUAUGACACCAGUUACUGCCCUAAGUAUAUCAGAGAACAUUGCCAUUGACACUAGCUGUGUACACUUGAUAAUUAUUUCAACAAUUGAUAAUUGUGAUUGGCAUACGUUUCCCAUGUAAAUCGUGAAUGAUGGCAUACUGAUG